Molecule: ribosomal RNA, 603 nt
Filed under: Nototriton abscondens
Lineage: Eukaryota; Metazoa; Chordata; Amphibia; Caudata; Plethodontidae
Description: partial 16S ribosomal RNA
Source: RNAcentral
CUAGCAAGUAUAACCCAACAAAAAGAAUUAAGCUGGACACCCCGAAACCAAGCGAGCUACCUCAAGACAACAACCGAAUUAAUCCUUCUCUGUGGCAAAAGAGUGGAAAGAUCUUAAAGUAGUGGCAAAAAACCUAACGAGCCUGGAUAUAGCUGGUUACUUGAGAAUGAAUUUAAGUUCAAUUAAAAGCGACUUCACCAGUAAGGACUAUUGCUUUUAUUUUAACAAAUUAAGGUACAACUUAAUUAGUAAAGGAAACAACCUAAAUAAAUGAAUAAAGAUUAUAUUCACUAAGGACCACAGCCCAGUAGGCUUAAAAGCAGCCACCACACAAUAGCGUUAAAGCUUAACCAACACAACACCUGCCAUUCCAAUAAAUAAUCUAAAUUCAACAAAAAAAUCAAGUCAAUCUACACGUAGAUAAGUUAUUACUAGAAUGAGUAACAAGGAUUAUCCUCAACAUACAUGUGUAAAUCGGAACGAACUAAUCACCGAUAAUUAACGAUAAGUAACUUAAACUAGAAUAUAAUAUAACAUAAAUCGUUUACCCAACACAGGAGUAUUCAAGAAAGACCUUAAGUCUAGAAAGGAACUCGGCAAUUU